AGAAUGAAGAAGAUACCCAGCAGAUGUGUGCCAAGAUUCUACAAAUGGUACAUACAGAGUGUUCUCACCCAAAAAGGUACCAACUUGGGCAUGGAAAGACCUGUUUCUCCUGGACUCCUGGACGUGCCAGCCAUCGAGACAGGGAAGACCCACUGAUGUCUUCAGGAUUUGUCCAUCACCCUGGGGACUGUCUGGCCUGCUGGCAGGUGACAGUGGCCUG
RNAcentral lists this long non-coding RNA (220 nucleotides) under Homo sapiens (human). RNAcentral's name for it is "HSALNT0184272". The record is from RNAcentral. Lineage: Eukaryota; Metazoa; Chordata; Mammalia; Primates; Hominidae.